AAAGUAUGGCGGAAGUAGAGUAAUUUUAUGCACAAAGUUAAGAAAAACAACAUGCUGCAAGAUGACGAGCCCUUUAAUAACUUUUCUUUUCCGCAUACCAUGACUUCGUAUGUACUGCAACAAGAAAAAUGUCGUCCAAAGGACGGAAUCUGGCCAAAACUAUUGGAAAAUCAAUUAGGAAAAAGUUCACAGAUUUAGAAGGUCGACCUGACCAGCAACAGGAAUCGUUUUCUCUUGGUGAUACUGAUAUGAAUGCUGCAAUGGAUUUGAGAAAUGAUCGAGGAAUGUUAACAGCAUCCAGUCGUGCCCCAAAAGUUGUGAAAAGUGUGUCACUUGGAAGUAUUAACAAUGAAGAACCCGUUAUUGUGGACCAAGAAGACAUCAUAGCAUUAACACAGGAUGUCAAGAGUUUCUCUGAUGCCCUUGCAAGUCUCAAGACUGUCUUCACUGCAAAUUUGGAAGUUGGUGAUGACACAAGAGUGAUUGCUCAUCAAAGACUGGGUGAGGUUUUAUGUAUUUUGAAGAAUGUAUUACAGUGCUACCCAGCACUCCACUCCACGGAUCUGUUUUCAGCUGCAGGGGCUCUCAUUGGAAAAAUCAAGAAUCACAAUUAUGAAGAAGCAGCUGAUGACAAUUUGCUGCAGUCUUUCUGUGAUGCCAUUGACCAGCUGGCUUUAUCCUUCAGCAGCAGUGUGUCUGAGUACUUAAUGGGUGGUAUGGAACCAGAGAUGUCUGGAAACAACAAAACAAAGUCUUAUGACAACUUGGCAGCACUUGAUACAGAUGGAUCUGAAACUUCUAGCAUUGAUGGAAAAUGUGCUCAAAUCUGUGGCAGUGAUAUUGAUGUGGCACUGGUACGUCUAGAAGCCGGACUGGACUUAGCAUUGCAGAGAGCUAAGGCUUGGUCGAAGUAUGCAAGGGAUAUUAUGACCUACAUUGAGAAGAAAACGCAACUAGAGUUGGAAUACUCCAAAAACUUGAGUCGGUUAGCACAGUCUACAAGACCUGUUUUAACAGAAGAGGGAUUUUUGCCAUUACAGUCUGUGUAUUGUACUCUGUUAGCUCAGGAUACUGAGUUUUCCAACAACUGUCAGGCCACACAUGUGCUGUUGCAGACAUCAAAAUUUAUUGAGCCUUUGUCGACAAGGCGUGCUGAACACGACAAAGUGAGAAAGUCUGUGAAGGAAGUAUGGGUUAGAGAAAUCAAGAAAAUGCAUGACACUGUAACGAACCUACGCAAAGCUCAAAACAUGUACGUGUCCCGACAGUUAGAGUUUGAUAAAGCCCGAGAGCUGACACAGAAGGCUGAUGCAGAUAAACAUGACAAACGUAAGAAGCUGGAAGAAGAAGCCAUGCAUAAAGCUGCAGAAGCCGAGACCACCUACAAGGCCUGUGUAGCUGAGGCUAAUCAUCGACAACAGGAACUUGAGAAGGUUAAGUUUGACUUGCUUGGCAAAAUCCGGGAACAGAUUGAAAUGUGUGAUCAGACUAUGAAGCAGUUGACGGUAGAUUAUUUUCAGCUACUACAUACAGUGUCUGCACCACUUCCUGUUCAGUUUCACACCCUGUGUGAAAGCAGUAAAACAUAUGAACCUGGAAGCCAGUAUGCUGAGUUUGUACGAAGACUGCCUAUCCCAGCAGCCAGCACAACCAGACAAGAGGCUUUCUCAUUUGAAGCUUAUGUACCCGGUGUUAAAUAUGGUGAGAGUCGGAAACCCAGCACUCACUCUAAUGGCUUAGUAUCCUCCGACUUGCUUCCUUCCAACGAAGGCUCUCCGACAUCCUCACCCAGAAAAGCAGACAAAAAUCGUGCUCCAGUGAAAGCCUGGGGACAGUCGGGAGUACCAAACAGUGAUUCGGAUAGUGCCAAUGGAAGUAGUAGCAAUAAGUCACAUGAUUCAUCACCUAGCAACAGUCCACACACAAUGUCAAGACCUCACCUUGUUACUAGUCAUUCACUUGAUGAACUGGUUGAAGAAGACUCGAAAAAUAGUAAUGGUCAUGAGCAGAGACGUAAUUUGAUAAAACGGAUGUUGACGGUUGCAGCAGAAGAUUCAUUGAUGCCCUAUAAUCGUGGUCGGCGAAACACAACAUUUGGUGUUGACUUCCAGGAACAAGUUGCCCAGUUUAAGCGAGAAGUUCCACCAAUUAUUUCUAAGUGUUUAUCAGAAGUGGAAAAACGAGGCAUGGACAUCAAGGGUAUAUACCGAGUUUCGGGAGUGAAGAGUAAGGUGGAGAAUCUGUGUCAGCGUUUUGACAUGGAACCCGAGAUUGUUGAUCUGGAGGAACAACACCCAAACGUCAUCUCCAAUGUACUGAAGCUGUACUUGAGACAGUUGCCAGAACCUUUGCUUACAUUUCGAUUGUAUGGAGAUUUUAUUAAUGUUUCUAAGGAAAGCAUGGCUGGUGCUAUCUCUAGUGCUAAAACAGUGGAACGACUUGCAUCCUUGGUUCGCAAUUUACCACACUCUAACUUCAAAACUCUGGCUGUGCUUGUUCAUCACUUACAGAGAGUUGCUGCACACAGUGAUGUGAAUCAGAUGAGUCCUAGUAACCUGGGUAUUGUCUUCGGACCCACACUUCUUAGACCUGCAGAAGGUACUGCUUCCCUCGCUUCUUUGGUGGAUACACCUCACCAGACACGUGCCAUAGAACUACUCAUUUCUUCAGCUCAGACCAUCUUUGGUCCUGACGCUGACUACCAGCUGGUUGCUGGAGAAACGCCAGUUGAGUUACUGCCAGAUGAAAAUACUCAGCCAACACAAAAACAGAAGCCCUCAGGAGAAAAAGUAUCAGCAGUUUCAACCGAAGAAUCAUCAAAACCUGUUAGUACUGCAGCCAGUAUACCUCCAGAUCAUAUUGUGCAACCAGCAGAAGGAGAGACUCUUUCAGGUUUAGACAAGGGGAGGAAAGUUCGGAUGAUUUAGACCUGCAAUCUGAUGAUGACUUGCCGGACACAUUGCUUCCAGAUGACUCCCUGUCCCCACGGUCCGCAAACCCGGCCGUGGUCACACCACAUUUCAUGGCAGGGGGAGUAAGACAUGCCGUCGUCGGAUCAUCGCUUUCACAACCCACCUCUAGUCAAGCAAGUGGUUCUGGUCCUGUGCUCAUAUGUUCUAGUCUGAGUGACAUCGCCCAGCCCUGUGCGUUUGUUGGCAUCAUA
This 3163-nucleotide unclassified non-coding RNA is filed under the name Gigantopelta aegis. RNAcentral describes it as "rho GTPase-activating protein 45-like, transcript variant X2". Lineage: Eukaryota; Metazoa; Mollusca; Gastropoda; Neomphalida; Peltospiridae. The record is from RNAcentral.